AGGAAGCACGGCGGCGAUCGCACAAAGGAGCGGGGCCUCUGGCUUCAGCAGGCGGCGAGGACCGACAUCCCCUCCUCGGGAGGCGGGCGGCGACGUUACACAGGCCUUGAUUAGGGGAUAAGUUGGCGCGACGCCCGCCCGGUGUUGUGCAACGGCCGCCGCCGCCUCAGGCUGAGAAAGAUCGGAGAACCAUUGGAGAAAGUUGGUUGAAGACGUUGGCACCUUACCCAAAGGAGGAGUUAGCCCAGGCCAAAAGAAAUAAAUGAGUGCAGAUUGACUCUCUCGCGUUACGGAAAUUCGCCCUUACUGAAUUCACAAAGCACUAUCCAAAAAAAAAUUGAAAUACGGAAUAAAAUCAGCUCUCACCGAAUUUUUGUUGGGGGGGGGGAGUAAAU
This is a long non-coding RNA of Pristis pectinata (smalltooth sawfish), 395 nucleotides long. RefSeq lists it as uncharacterized. The record is from RefSeq and is a predicted model, not a curated record. The transcript is spliced from 2 exons. NCBI's taxonomy places the organism in Eukaryota, Metazoa, Chordata, Chondrichthyes, Rhinopristiformes, Pristidae.